AAAUCAUUUAUGAAGACUAGAAAAUCCCCAUUUCUCGCAGCACUUAUUUUUUCAGGAAUCUGCGGAUGCCUAUCAAGUGUCUUUAUGUACAGUGCCUAAUUCAGCAGCUUGAGAAGGAAGAUGUGAGAAAGCUCCAUCACGUUUGCUUUGCCUUCUGUUCACUGUAGUUCUCUCACUGAUUUUAAGUAAUAUUGUUGCAGCACAGAGAGAGUCACAGACUGAUGAAUCAAACUCCUACUGUUUGUUCAAUACGAAGGAUAUAUGAAGCUUUUUUGCUGAUAAGUUUUCUCUUUGAAACAACUUAUUUCCAUUCUUGAUUUUGCAAAUAACUUAUCGAAUAACAAGAACCAUACUUUUGUCACUGUAGUGGUUUCUGUAGAAGACUCUCAAGUAGAGAAAUCUGAAGUUCUGACACCAUAAAUCCUCAUGCUUCUGUUGUUCAUGUCCUCCCCAGUAACUGAUGUUCCCUGAUGUGAAAUGGGAUGACUGGUGUGGAGCAUGUUUCUAAUUUGUCUCGUGCAAGAGUUUUGUGAGUUACAAGGUCAGCAUGACAGAAAAAGGUUUCUAUUCUGCAUAUCCCAUGACCCAUCAGAUCUCUUCUAGUAUUUACAGGUCCCUUGUUUGCCUUUGCCUGGAGCAUAUGUGGAGCACUCAGACAGUUGGAUAUGAAUGGACCACCAUCCAAUAUGCAGGAACCACCAGCUCCAAGGCAAGCAGGUCCCUGGCUGCAGCAGCAUCCUUGGCAUUUGCACUCUAUGAUGAUGAACAUGGCAAGAGAAAAAACGAAUGCGAUGGGACCAGUUUUAAGGAGAAACUGAAACCUGAGAAAGCAUUUUUCUAAG
Molecule: long non-coding RNA, 842 nt
Organism: Gallus gallus (chicken)
Lineage: Eukaryota; Metazoa; Chordata; Aves; Galliformes; Phasianidae
Source: Ensembl